CUGGUGAGUAACACGUGGGUAACCUACCUAUAAGACUGGGAUAACUCCGGGAAACCGGGGCUAAUACCGGAUAACACAUGAAACCGCAUGGUUUCAUGAUGAAAGACGGUUUUGCUGUCACUUAUAGAUGGACCCGCGGCGUAUUAGCUAGUUGGUAAGGUAACGGCUUACCAAGGCAACGAUACGUAGCCGACCUGAGAGGGUGAUCGGCCACACUGGAACUGAGACACGGUCCAG
Molecule: ribosomal RNA, 237 nt
Filed under: uncultured Staphylococcus sp.
Lineage: Bacteria; Bacillati; Bacillota; Bacilli; Caryophanales; Staphylococcaceae
Description: partial 16S ribosomal RNA
Rfam family: Bacterial small subunit ribosomal RNA
Source: RNAcentral